AUUGAACGCUGGCGGCAUGCCUUACACAUGCAAGUCGAACGGUAACGGGCCUUCGGGUGCCGACGAGUGGCGAACGGGGUGAGUAAUGCAUCGGAACGUACCUUUCAGUGGGGGAUAACGUAGCGAAAGUUACGCUAAUACCGCAUAUUCUGUGAGCAGGAAAGCAGGGGAUCGCAAGACCUUGCGCUGAUUGAGCGGCCGAUGUCAGAUUAGCUAGUUGGUGAGGUAAAGGCUCACCAAGGCGACGAUCUGUAGCGGGUCUGAGAGGAUGAUCCGCCACACUGGAACUGAGACACGGUCCAGACUCCUACGGGAGGCAGCAGUGGGGAAUUUUGGACAAUGGGGGCAACCCUGAUCCAGCCAUGCCGCGUGAGUGAAGAAGGCC
This 385-nucleotide ribosomal RNA is filed under the name uncultured bacterium. Its description in RNAcentral is "bacterial SSU rRNA". It matches the Rfam family "Bacterial small subunit ribosomal RNA", at positions 30 to 416 of the family's 1533-position model. The record is from RNAcentral.